RNAcentral lists this ribosomal RNA (492 nucleotides) under uncultured bacterium. Its description in RNAcentral is "partial 16S ribosomal RNA". It matches the Rfam family "Bacterial small subunit ribosomal RNA", at positions 29 to 507 of the family's 1533-position model. The record is from RNAcentral.
AGUGAACGCUGGCGGUAGGCCUAACACAUGCAAGUCGAACGGCAGCACAGUAAGAGCUUGCUCUUACGGGUGGCGAGUGGCGGACGGGUGAGGAAUACAUCGGAAUCUACUUUUUCGUGGGGGAUAACGUAGGGAAACUUACGCUAAUACCGCAUACGACCUACGGGUGAAAGCAGGGGAUAUUCGGACCUUGCGCGAUUGAAUUAGCCGAUGUCGGAUUAGCUAGUUGGCUGGGUAAAGGCCUACCAAGGCGACGAUCCGUAGCUGGUCUGAGAGGAUGAUCAGCCACACUGGAACUGAGACACGGUCCAGACUCCUACGGGAGGCAGCAGUGGGGAAUAUUGGGCAAUGGGCGCAAGCCUGACCGAGCCAUGCCGCGUGAGUGAAGAAGGCCUUCGGGUUGUAAAGCCCUUUUGUUGGGAAAGAAAAGAAGCGGGUUAAUCCCCCGCUGUUCUGACGGUACCCAAAGAAUAAGCACCGGCUAACUUCGUG